UUGAGUCAUAAGACCAAUAAACACUCUCUGCUAUUCUUCUUCACAGUGUCAUCUCCUCCAUGAGAGUCAACCAUGAGCUUUUGAUGUGUCUUCACCAUUUUUCAUUCAACUUCUUGAUUCAUCAACCUACCUAUAGAGUUAAAGACCAAAGCUAGAGUAGCCUCUCUUAAUCAGCAAUUCUUAUUCUCCAAAUCUUCCAUUUGUCAACACAAUUAAGCUGAGUUGUUGAAUUCAUAGAGCACCAAGGCCUCUAUAAAUAGUUGUCAAUUCAUCCCCAAAUGCAAUACAAUUCAGAUUAACCUUCAAUUUCUAAACCACCAUUAAAACCCUCUUAAACAAAAUAAAUUUCUGAAAAAUUACCAAAACCACCACAUUAACCACCAUUGCCGCCCCUUUCUACCGAAAAAUCACCACUGUUGUCAAAUAUUGUGCAAUCUCGUAUAUUCUCAUUAAUAACACACGUAUAUAUAGUACAACUCAGUUACCUAAACCCUAGGUACACAUUAGGUAACUCACCAUAGUUAGGACUCUACAGAAUAUUCACAGAAUAAUAUCUAAUAUCUUAACAUAUCUUAACAACUGUCAACCACCCAGCUCUGCUCACUCUUCGACUCCGGUCACAGUCGAACCGCCCAGCAGACUCACCUCCGCUUUUUUCCUUUCGAGCUCCACGGCGCUGCUUCUGUUGUUUGUGCCUUUGCUUUGAAAUCGGACUUGGAGCUCAGAAGGAACGAGUUGAGGAAACGGAGUAACGAACUACAAAUUAAGGUGCCGACCGGGACGGCGGAUGCGAUUAGUGGCAAGGAUUUCGUCGUAUUAGGGCUCACUUAGUUUAAGCUUAAUUUGUACUAAGUUCAAGUAAGAAUUUUCUACUAAGUUGUGUAAGUUACUU
Long non-coding RNA from Spinacia oleracea (spinach), 892 nucleotides. RefSeq lists it as uncharacterized. The record is from RefSeq and is a predicted model, not a curated record. The transcript has 3 exons. Lineage: Eukaryota; Viridiplantae; Streptophyta; Magnoliopsida; Caryophyllales; Amaranthaceae.